RNAcentral lists this ribosomal RNA (565 nucleotides) under uncultured Glomeromycotina. RNAcentral describes it as "SSU rRNA". It matches the Rfam family "Eukaryotic small subunit ribosomal RNA", at positions 548 to 1114 of the family's 1831-position model. Lineage: Eukaryota; Fungi; Glomeromycota. The record is from RNAcentral.
UUGGAGGGCAAGUCUGGUGCCAGCGGCCGCGGUAAUUCCAGCUCCAAUAGCGUAUAUUAAAGUUGUUGCAGUUAAAAAGCUCGUAGUUGAAUUUCGAGAUCAGUACGCUGGUCGUGCCUUCGGUAUGCACUGGUGUCACUGGUUUCUCCCUUCUGAAGAACCGCCAUGCCAUUCAGUUGGUGUGGCGGGGAAUCAGGACUGUUACUUUGAAAAAAUUAGAGUGUUUAAAGCAGGCUCGCGCUUGAAUACAUUAGCAUGGAAUAAUGAAAUAGGACGUUUGACCCUAUUUUGUUGGUUUCUAGGAUCGACGUAAUGAUUAAUAGGGAUAGUUGGGGGCAUUAGUAUUCAAUUGUCAGAGGUGAAAUUCUUGGAUUUAUUGAAGACUAACUACUGCGAAAGCAUUUGCCAAGGAUGUUUUCAUUAAUCAAGAACGAAAGUUAGGGGAUCGAAGACGAUCAGAUACCGUCGUAGUCUUAACCAUAAACUAUGCCGACUAGGGAUCGGAUGAUGUUAAUUUUUUAAUGACUCACUCGGCGCCUUACGGGAAACCAAAGUGUUUGGGUUC